CUUUCAUAUCAAAACAAACACCUUAAUUUGGGACUAAUGUAAUAGUUUGUAAUUGAUUUUAACCUCCUCCAAAAGAUACUGUAAGAAUAACUCGUAUAUUAAUCAUCCUAAAAUAUAAAAUGUGGUGUCAUUUUCCAGUUUUUAAGAUUUCAUCGUCCUAGGAAUUCAAGUCCAGGCAGCACCGAAUGUCUCUUAACCUUAGUCCACUUAUCUUUCAUGCCUUGGGGCCCACUGUUUCACUUGGUUUCAAAAAAACAACCUGGCUCAGUGUAUUAUUGUAGAUUCCCUAGAGAAAUCCAUCUGCUUUUUCCUCUCUUUUUUCUCACAUGAUUGUCUUGCCUCACAGACCCUUCCAUCAUCUUCCAAGUGAGGAAACCUAUUGAGGUAUCAAGGGCCAACUUCAAUGAAAACUUCCCCGACUUCCUCUGAAUGGAUUUGAGCUCCUCUUCUAAAUUCCUCUAGCUCUUAGUUGUUAUAUGCUAAUAAUAUUGAUCACAUACUAAAGCAUCUCAUUACAUUUCAGUGCAGAAAUAAUCCUGCUUAUUAUCAUAUAGAUCCUAUCAUAUAGAUCUAUAGAUCAUUAAGCACUGUGUCUGUUACACAAAGGAAAUUUUUGAUAAAUAUUUCUGGGGAAAAGGCAAUCAGAAAAUGGGAAGUAAUAAAAGAAUGACAUUUGGUGCUGUGUCCUUCCUCUUAUUUCUAAAAUAAAAUACAUAAAAAUUUGGUUUUUGCUAACAUAACCAUCUGAAGUGAUAUGACAGGCCUUUGGCUAACUAUCUAAUGAUAUACUAGCAAUUCACAAAAAUUUGGGGAAAAUGAACAUAUAUUCACUAAUUCACAAGUAGUCACCCAUGCUAGAUUAGAAGAUGAAGAAUUGAGUAAAAAGUGGAACCUAUUUUAAUUAUGUUACAGCCUACUGAUAAAUAAAUAAUCCCAGUAUGGAGUGGUAAGUCCCAUAAUAAAUAUCUACAGAGAGGUCUCUGGAAGCACAAGGAAGGACCGUCUGGGUUUGACAGGGGAUAUUAGAAAAAGUUUCAAAGAACACAUGACAUUUGUUCAAAAUCUUGAAGGAUGGAGAUGAGUUUGCCAAGCAGAAAAGAAUAAAACAUUAUUUUAUCACUUGAGAAAGGGCCUGCCCAUAGUUGGUAAAUUCAGGAUGUGAUAUUUGGAGAGAGAGGAUAUUAUGGGGUGAGAAAGGAAGGGAGUAGCCAUGUUGGGGAGGAAUCAGAGAGCCAUGCUAACAAGUUUAACUUUAAUUGCAUGCAAGACUGACAGCCAUUAAAAGGUUUUAGGCAGGAAAGUGAUGUGAUCAGAGCUACAGUAUGCUGAAGAAUAAAUUAAUGUGAUGAGCCAAAAUCAGAUGCAGGGAGGUUACGGGACUGCAGCAAAGCUUCAGGGAAAGGCAGUAGUAAUAGGAUGUGCAGGAAAAAGUAAUGCAGAUUGCAGAAACUUAAAAUGGGUGAAAGAAAGAGAGAGAGGCAAAAGAUUGACUGUGGCUUACAGUUUUUGAUAAAUAAUAAUGCCAAAAAUCAAGAUCUGGAUUAAGAGGGAGAUCUAGUGUGAGGAAGAAAGAAAAUCAGUUAGCAUUGCAGGUUUUUAUCUGAUUCUGUAAAAUCAACAACUGUCCAGUAAGCAGUUAUAAAUAUUUUUCUGGCAUGAGUUGAGACUCAGCUAAAGAUAUAUAUUCCAAAACCAAUAGUUUAAGCGUGGAGGUAAAAACCUCCAUGCAUAGAGGUAUAUGAAAUUGGCUAUGGACAUUUUUGAGAGAGAAAAGGGCUAAGUAUAGAGUCCACAAAGAAGACUAAAAGGAAGGUUUUGAACUCAGCUGAAAACUAAGGAAAAAAUAUUGUCAUGAGAAAGAGUGAAGACAGUUUUAAAGAGAAUGUGCUAUGGUUUGGAUGUGGAUUGCCCUCAUCAAAAUUCAUGUUGAAAUUUGAUCCCCAAAAUGUCAGUGUUAGGAGGCAGGACCUAAUGGGAGGUAUUUGGUUCAUGUAGGUGGAUCCCUCAUGAAUAGAUUAAUGCUUUCUCCCAGGAGUGAGUUCUUUCUUUCAAGGGAAUGGAUUAGUUUCCACAAGAGCAGGUUGUUAAAAAGAGUUUGCUUCAUCUGUUUCUCUCUCUUGCUUUCUCUCUUGUCUUGCAAUCUCUGCACAUGCCUGCCCCUCUUCCAUUAUCUUCCAUGAGUGGAAUCAGCCUGAGGACCUCAACAGAUGCACCUGCCCAAUCUUAAACUUUCCAGCAAUCUGAAUUGUGAGCCAAAUAAUUUUUUUAUAAAUUAUCCAGCUUCAAGUAUUAUACCAACAAAAAAAAGGAAAUGCAAUGAGUCAAUAUACUUACUGAGAUUGCAGAAGAGACUGAACACUGCGCUAGGCUCUGAAGAGAAAGAUGAAAAAGAAGAAAGUGCUCCUGAGUAUAUGACUACUUGUACUUGCUAGCACUGAGGCAAGUACAAACUCUAGGCAUCAGGCUUUUGGUCUCACUCUUAGCGAAUUUGAACACUGGCUUUUUUGUUGGGCUUCCAUUCUUCUCUCAGCGCAAGAAUACCAACGUUUAUGACCCAGGAAGCACCAACUUAUACUUCACAGAGCUAAGGUGGUCUGCAAAAUUUGCCUUCACAUUUGGAAGACUCAAAAUCUAAUUUUUGAAGGGGUAGAAAUUUGAAAUUGGAGCAAAACCAAAAUGAUAUCAAAGCAAGGCAGGUCCAGAGUGUGUGGAGCAGUUCCAAGACAGCAUCCUUGAAAGACCCAAGCAUCCCAAUAUGAACUCUCAGAGAAACAGAAGAGUUUUACCAAAUAUUUUGGCUCACUUUUAAUGAUAAAAGCAUCAGAAUUUGUGUUAGGCUUCAAAUAUAUACAUCAUUUAUGCUUCAUGUAUUAUCUGCAAGUUAGAAGCAUUUCAGAGAAAAAAAUAAGAACUUACCUUAACAUUCUAUUGGCCACACAGCUUUUCUGAGAAGAUUACAUUGAUUUGGGUAUGACAUCAAGAUGGUGAGACAUGAAAAUUGGCUAGCCAUAUGUAGAGACCUGAAACUGGAUCCCUUCCUUACACCUUAUACA
RNAcentral lists this long non-coding RNA (3053 nucleotides) under Homo sapiens (human). Its description in RNAcentral is "HSALNT0306091". The record is from RNAcentral. Lineage: Eukaryota; Metazoa; Chordata; Mammalia; Primates; Hominidae.